AGGACGAACGCUGGCGGCGUGCUUAACACAUGCAAGUCGAGCGAUGAAGUCCUCGGGAAUGGAUAGCGGCGGACGGGUGAGUAACACGUGGGUAACCCGCCUCAUAGAGGGGAAUAGCCUUUCGAAGGAAGAUUAAUACCGCAUAAGAUUGUAGUAUCGCAUGAUACAGCAAUUAAAGGAGUAAUCCGCUAUGAGAUGGACCCGCGUCGCAUUAGCUAGUUGGUGAGGUAACGGCUCACCAAGGCGACGAUGCGUAGCCGACCUGAGAGGGUGAUCGGCCACAUUGGGACUGAGACACGGCCCAGACUCCUACGGGAGGCAGCAGUGGGGAAUAUUGCACAAUGGGGGAAACCCUGAUGCCAGCAACGCCGCGUGAGUGAUGACGGUCUUCGGAUUGUAAAACUCUGUCUUCAGGGACGAUAAUGACGGUACCUGAGGAGGAAGCCACGGCUAACUACGUGCCAGCCGCGGC
Molecule: ribosomal RNA, 472 nt
Filed under: uncultured bacterium
Lineage: Bacteria
Description: bacterial SSU rRNA
Rfam family: Bacterial small subunit ribosomal RNA
Source: RNAcentral